Molecule: long non-coding RNA, 397 nt
Filed under: Nicotiana tabacum (common tobacco)
Lineage: Eukaryota; Viridiplantae; Streptophyta; Magnoliopsida; Solanales; Solanaceae
Description: long non-coding RNA (NTAB_LNC016329)
Source: RNAcentral
CCCCAUAUAGUUUCGCUCUUUAAGUUCUGAUCCUUUCUUGCAUAUACUUCCUAAGGAGGCCGAAGAAGCCAGUAGAGUUACAUUACUCUGGCCCUCCUCCUCCCUAACAUCAAGGAGUGGUGGAGACAUCACAAUUCAAAAUCACACUCCAAUACUUUUGCACUGCUCAUUUCAAGAAAACAAAAUCAUUACCUUACUCUCUUCAAAACAGAAUAUCAAGUUCAACGACUCAAUUGACGGCUCAGACAUAGAAGUAGUUUACAACAGUACAACACAAGGAGUGGUGGAGACAUCACAAUUCAAAAUCACACUCCAAUACUUUUGCACUGCUCAUUUCAAGAAAACAAAAUUAUUACCUUACUCUCUUCAAAACAGAAUAUCAAGUUCAACGACUCAA